GACGAACGCUGGCGGCGUGCUUAACACAUGCAAGUCGAACGGUGAAGCCCAGCUUGCUGGGUGGAUCAGUGGCGAACGGGUGAGUAACACGUGAGCAACCUGCCCCCGACUCUGGGAUAAGCCCGGGAAACUGGGUCUAAUACCGGAUACGAGCCUCCACCGCAUGGCGGAGGUUGGAAAGGGUCUCCGGUCGGGGAUGGGCCCGCGGCCUAUCAGCUUGUUGGUGGGGUAACGGCCCACCAAGGCGACGACGGGUAGCCGGCCUGAGAGGGUGAACGGCCACACUGGGACUGAGACACGGCCCAGACUCCUACGGGAGGCAGCAGUAGGGAAUCUUGCGCAAUGGGCGAAAGCCUGACGCAGCGACGCCGCGUGCGGGACGAAGGCCCUCGGGUUGUAAACCGCUUUCAGCAGGGACGAAGCGAGAGUGACGGUACCUGCAGAAGAAGGUCCGGCCAACUACGUGCCAGCCGCCGCCGUAACAC
RNAcentral lists this ribosomal RNA (485 nucleotides) under uncultured bacterium. RNAcentral's name for it is "bacterial SSU rRNA". It matches the Rfam family "Bacterial small subunit ribosomal RNA", at positions 28 to 526 of the family's 1533-position model. The record is from RNAcentral.